GCUGAAGUGAUCACAACUCCUGUCUAAUUUUUAUAGAGCCUCCCACGUGGAACCACAUGGGAAUCUGGCACACAUGGUAGCAACAAUCCCCUUAUAGAAGUAUCAGAUUGUUUUCUCAGAAGGAGCUAUCUCUUCCUCGGACUACGGUGCAAAGAGAAAAAAAAUCUCUGUAAUUAAGAUAAACAAAAUAGGUUGAUUUUUUGCCUGUGCCCUUCCUAUUCUAAGAUGUGGAUAUUAUACCCAUGAAACAGAAGUUGUACAAAGUCCAACUUUAAGAAUUCAGAACUGUGGCUGGAGGGAUGGCUCAGGGAUUGAGAGCACUGACUGCUUUUUCAGAAGUCCCGAGUUCAAUUUCUGGCAA
Mastomys coucha (southern multimammate mouse) is the source of this 361-nucleotide long non-coding RNA. RefSeq lists it as uncharacterized. The record is from RefSeq and is a predicted model, not a curated record. The transcript is spliced from 4 exons. Lineage: Eukaryota; Metazoa; Chordata; Mammalia; Rodentia; Muridae.